CUCUAAAGAGCUCAAUUAUUUGGUGUUGUGAGAACUGCAGGAAAUGAAGCUUUUUGCUCUGCAUGCUCAUAAAAUAGGAUCAAUGAGUAAUUGUUCAAUCGAUUAUUUAAAAGAGUGAAAGUCUUUUAACAGAUGUCAAGAUCCCUUGUGGUGAAUGAUAUUAAUUAUAAUGCAAAACACCCAAAUAUUGUUGAGGAAAGACUGUGAACUGAGCACCUGAAAAGUCCCUUUCUGCUUACUGGGUUCAAAACACAUUUUUAUACUUGAAAUUUGCUUCAGAGAGACAGGAAAUCAUCUCUAUUCCCCUUCCUCCUUUGGCAAACGAACAACGUAGGUUUUAUUUUUAAGCAAUUUAUCAUAACAAAGAUCCUCUCUGCCAAAACAAACCACAGUGCUCAAUGACUACAUCGCGGUGAGAUUUUUUUCUUAGAUUAUUCAGAGCGAAAAAUUCAGUAGAGAAAAAGAGUAUUUUAAAAAAUUGACUAUUUUAUUCUAGCUAUCUAAAUAGUAGACUAAUACUAGAAGAAAAGUUCUCCAUUAUUCAGUAAUUGUUGCUUUUUUACAGAAUAAUCAGAUCAAUGUAGCGCCUGAAAUUUCAUCAUAGUCAGAAAUCACACAGGCUGUGGUCUGCAGAAUCUGCUCAUUUAGAUGGGAUGGGUAAGGGUGGAAGAACCAUGGGGAGGCAAGACAAGGAGGAGAGAGGAGGUUAUCCCACCUCUCUUGGGAGCCAGUUCUUGGGAACCAGUUGUAUGAGCCCUGGGCAUGUAGGCCUCCCCUCCCCAGGGACCCAGGUUGGCCUACCUGUGCCCCAGUGUCCGAGCCUCCAUCUCUCCUUCCUGUUUAAUUAACACCCCUGAGCAGUUGAGCAGUGUGGAACCUACCCCACCAUCCCAGCACCUAGACUUAGUGUAUUAGCAGUUUUUUCAGUGAAAUUUAAUUGAAGUUUGUUACAUACGGAGGCCUCCGAUGGGCUCCUUUUUGAUUAUUAACAUAUUGCUGAAGUGAAGGUCUUUCAUUUAUCCAUCCGUUUGUUAACAUAAUACCUACAUUAUGCCAGGCACAGUCCGAUGGCAAAGAUAGGUAACCCAAACAAUUAUAAUGCAGUCAGAAAAGGGUUGAGCUGCAUCUUAACUCCUUGAGGGACUGGUUUUAUCUAUCUCUGAAGUCCCAGCACCAAGCCAGCUGCCUGAUGGAGAAAUUACCCAGUAAGUGUUUGUGAAAAUUUGUGAACUUAAUGGAUAGACUGGUAUGGGAGCCCAGACAAGGGACAGCUAAAUAAAGGUAGAAGACAGAAGUGAGGGAAGACUUCCUGGAGGAGGGGACACAAUCUGAGUCUAAAGAAUAAGUUGAACAGGGAGGAAGGAACACAUAUAAAGGCACUUGGGCAGUGAUGUACAGAAAAGGGGGCUCUCAUUCAAGAUCUAUGUGUCUUCCAAAACACACACAUACACACACACACACACACACACACACACACACACAGAGUGGGCUCCUGGCAUGCAGGAGACAGGAGACAGAAAUAUGCUCUCUUUGCAAAUAGUGGUAACUGUGAUAUUCUCUAUUUCAAGGACAUUGAGGUAAUUAAUAUGAGAGAGAGGUGGGUUUUAUUAAGCUUGAGAACGUCAGAGUUCUGCAAGGGAAACCUGACAAUACUGUGAUGUGUUAUGAUAUUUUUUACGCUAUAUAAUUUGAGCUUGUAACUGCUUAACCAAUUAAAGAUUUAGGAGAGAGGCCUUAAACACUGUUGCACAGCUGAAGGAAUGAUUUAUUACACCAAAGCUUAUUGGAACAGAGAGAAGCCAGAUUGCAUUCAGAGGAACACCACUGUAGGACCUGUUAAUUGAUGUUCCAGAAUCAGGCUUCUCUGUUCAACCUGGAGAAAAGCUAUACCUUAAAUCUGCUUUUUGGAGAGUUCUAAUGCACAAUAAUAAACCAAAACGUUUGGGAAGUUUCUAUAGUUAAAAAAAAAAAAAGGUUUAUUAUUGGUUAAACAUACUUCCCCGGAAAAUCCUUUUUUUCCUUCCCAAUUAUCCGUAAAUACCAGUUUUUGAAUGGUUGCAGUAAGAGAAGAUUGAGACACUGGAGGAUUUAUGGAAUUUCACCCACUCUUUUGGGUUUAUACUAUAACCAGAUUUUUAAAAAAUCCAGUGAAAGAUAAAUUCCAUUAAAGCCCAAUUUCACUUGUGUCAACGAUGCAGUACUGAUUUAGAAAUGCAUUGUCUAUGACAUUGUCAAUGCUGUCCUUCAUUUCAUACAGGUCUCUCUUGGGCUCCAAUCAAUGCAUGGUGGCAGCCGCAUAAGUUAAGUUGCCACUGCACAGAGGUGAGAGAGAGCAUGGUGCAAGGGGCAACCCACGAGGAUCUCGGUGGGUUUUACCCUUGAGUCUUGUGGGAAGAAUUGAUGAAGGUGCCUGAAAAGGGAUGACUCAAGGGUCACAAGGAUUUGUGAGUUUGUUUUACAGAAGAAAAAGAAUGUCUUAAAGGAAGAUAUGAUCACCAGAUAACCAGCCCCCAGCUGCCACUGACCCCCAGAAGUCAGAUUGUCCAAGAGCUUAUCUGGAGUGAGAGAAACAUGGAUUACCCCUUUGUUUCUCUGAAACUUCUGCCUAGCCCCUUAGCUCUCUAAAACCUCUGCUUUCUUCUCUUGUUAAGGUGGAUUUGAGAGAACCUAUCCUUCUGUCUUCUCAUUUUGGCCAAUUUGAAUAAACCUUUUUCCAUCUCAAA
RNAcentral lists this long non-coding RNA (2723 nucleotides) under Equus caballus (horse). RNAcentral's name for it is "lncRNA (ENSECAG00000049838.1)". Lineage: Eukaryota; Metazoa; Chordata; Mammalia; Perissodactyla; Equidae. The record is from RNAcentral.